Molecule: ribosomal RNA, 253 nt
Filed under: uncultured bacterium
Lineage: Bacteria
Description: partial 16S ribosomal RNA
Rfam family: Bacterial small subunit ribosomal RNA
Source: RNAcentral
UACGGAGGGUGCGAGCGUUAAUCGGAAUUACUGGGCGUAAAGGGCGCGCAGGCGGUCUGGUAAGUUUGGAGUGACAGUGCUCGGCUUAACUGAGCAAGGCCUUCGAAAACUGCUAGACUUGAGCACUCAAGAGGGACAUAGAAUUCCGGGUGGAGUGGUGAAAUGCGUAGAUAUCCGGAGGAAUACCAAAGGCGAAGGCAGUGUCCUGGGGAGUGUCUGACGCUCAGGCGCGAAAGCUAGGGGAGCGAACAGG